CAGAGUUUGAUCCUGGCUCAGGAUGAACGCUGGCGGCGUGCUUAACACAUGCAAGUCGAACGAUUAAAGCCCUCUUCGGAGGGUGUAUAAAGUGGCGAACGGGUGAGUAACACGUGGGGAACCUACCCCCCUCCCUGGGAUAACUCCGGGAGACCGGAGCUAAUACCGGUUACUCCGUGCGGAUCGCAUGGUCCGCUCGGGAAAGUCACGGCGGAGAGGGAUGGCCCCGCGGCCCAUUAGCUUGUUGGUGAGGUAACGGCUCACCAAGGCGACGAUGGGUAGCCGAGCUGAGAGGCUGAUCGGCCACACUGGGACUGAGACACGGCCCAGACUCCUACGGGAGGCAGCAGUGGGGAAUUUUGCGCAAUGGCGAAAGCCUGACGCAGCAACGCCGCGUGCGGGAUGAAGGCCCUCGGGUUGUAAACCGCUUUCAGCAGGGACGAACAUGACGGUACCUGCAGAAGAAGCCCCGGCUAACUACGUGCCAGCAGCCGCGGUAAUACGUAGGGGGCAAGCGUUAUCCGGAUUCAUUGGGCGUAAAGCGCGCGUAGGCGGCUUGUUAAGUCAGAUGUGAAAACCGGGGGCUCAACCCGCGGCCUGCAUCUGAAACUGGCAGGCUUGAGUCUGGUAGAGGAAAGUGGAAUUCCUGGUGUAGCGGUGAAAUGCGCAGAUAUCAGGAGGAGCACCAGUGGCGAAGGCGGCUUUCUGGGCCACGACUGACGCUGAGGCGCGAAAGCUAGGGGAGCGAACAGGAUUAGAUACCCUGGUAGUCCUAGC
This 777-nucleotide ribosomal RNA is filed under the name uncultured bacterium. RNAcentral describes it as "bacterial SSU rRNA". It matches the Rfam family "Bacterial small subunit ribosomal RNA", at positions 8 to 800 of the family's 1533-position model. The record is from RNAcentral.